AGAGGGAUAGCUGGGUUAAAUGGUGGUUCCAUUUCCAAUUUUUCAAGAAAUCUCCAAACUGUUUUCCAUAUUGGCUGCACCAAUUUCAGUCCCAUCAGCAGU
This 102-nucleotide microRNA precursor is filed under the name Marmota monax (woodchuck). Lineage: Eukaryota; Metazoa; Chordata; Mammalia; Rodentia; Sciuridae. The record is from RNAcentral.